GCAGAGUUCUGUGUUUUUGUGCUGUAAGUGCCGACAUAGUGGGUUGCAAAGAUCAUAAACUUUCUGAAGUUGCUACUUAUAGGCACAAAAAAAGUGUUUGGUGUACAACCUUGACCAGAGGCGUAACUAGAAACCACAGGGCCCCAGGGUGAAAAUUGCCCUAUACGUCCCUGCACGCAGACAUACAGAUACAUAUGCAGACACACACAUACAUAC
Non-coding RNA from Pelobates cultripes (western spadefoot toad), 216 nucleotides. NCBI's taxonomy places the organism in Eukaryota, Metazoa, Chordata, Amphibia, Anura, Pelobatidae. The record is from the annotation of a GenBank genome assembly.